CAGAUUCGCACAAGGAGCGCCGCACACGGGUUCGAACCCUGCUUACAACAUUUGCUCAACAUUUUAUUUCAGACGUUUCAUUAAACAAAACGACGUAGUUUAGUAACGUUUCAUUUACUUACAAUAAAUGAACAAAACGGCGUAGUUUAGUAAGGGGACAUAGAUAAUUGGAUUCAAAUCCGUAAUCUCAAAGUCAAAUACUAAAAAAAGCCCCACUGUGUUUUCUUUCUCUCUUCCGCCACUGUCCUCGCCUUUUUUUUUUUUUUUUUGCUUAGUUCUGUCCAUUGAUUUAGCCAAUCCAUUGCCGGCCGUCGACCUCUACUUAUCGCCGGUCGUCUCUCUGGUCUCGGUUCAUGGCUUCCUUGGUUGAUGUGAAGAACUGUCAAGUUAAGGCAAAGCAGGUUACUUUCCACCGGAAGAAGAAUCUUCAAUACUAUGACAUAUCAGCGAAGAGUAACUACAACUUUGGGAAGCCUUUCAUCUACCUUGCUAGGAAACUUGUUGGGUAAUCCUUUGUUGCCUUGUCCAAUUCUCAGUUGAUGCUUAAUGUAGAUUGAUGGAGAUUUUCGUCUAUUUAGGGCUAACCCAAACAAAGAAUUUCACAACAGAUAGUAGAUUGUGCUAGCAUAGCUAUUUUCAGAUAACACAACCCGUGUUAUCUUGUCAUGUCGAGUUCAGAUGAUCAAUAAUCAAAUCUUCAGUUUAAUUAGGCAUUUUAUGUGUCACAUUUGAUAGUGAUAUAAACAAUGGCCACAAUGGGGCAAUACAACAAAUUCAGUGAUUUGUUUUUGUCAGCUUCAUACCUUCUUGACUUCGUAGGACUAUC
Lycium ferocissimum is the source of this 826-nucleotide long non-coding RNA. RefSeq lists it as uncharacterized. The transcript has 2 exons. Lineage: Eukaryota; Viridiplantae; Streptophyta; Magnoliopsida; Solanales; Solanaceae. The record is from RefSeq and is a predicted model, not a curated record.